This 824-nucleotide long non-coding RNA is filed under the name Oryza brachyantha (malo sina). RNAcentral's name for it is "long non-coding RNA (OBRA_LNC001136)". Lineage: Eukaryota; Viridiplantae; Streptophyta; Magnoliopsida; Poales; Poaceae. The record is from RNAcentral.
CUCAUCAUGCUUAAUUACACAUCCCAAUAUUUCGCUCUCACGAGAAGAUCAGUGCCUUGCAGUUUCUUCGCUCUCUCGAUCAAUUGGUGGAAGACAGAUUGUUACAAUCUUGCUUCUGAUUCAGCUUUUCUUCUUGAUAUUUUGCUGUCAUCAGAUGUCGAUGGUCGUUCUGAAAUAUAUGUGCUUUUGAUAGACAUCCCAACAAAGAGAUGAUAUAUGGAGAUUUGCCUGAAAAAGUAUUAUCGUAAUCCAUACAUUUAUUAGAUUUUAUAAAUUUAUUUUAACACAAAAUUGAUUGUCGGAGAGUUCUAAAAUUUCAACCGAAUCUUGUACUAAAAGUCAAAUAUAUUAUUUUUUUUACCAGAGUAGGUUCAUACUUUGGUCAAACCUCCUUUCCCUGCGGGGUGAAUAGAAGUUGCAAACCACAUUUGCAUGCCGUUUCAGUACCUUCCUUUCCUUAUUGUAGUGAAGAAUUGAAGGAUGGUACUUCACUGCAUAUACAUUGCAAUGGAUCUGUCUACUCAGAAUCUGAGUUUAGGCUCUCAGCUUCUCCUUUGUUUCUUUCCCUUGUCUUCUGAUAGGAAAGCUACAUGCUAGGAACUGAUCAUCAUCUCUUAGUUUCUGUGUAGGAAACUCCUAUUUUGGAUCAUGUGUGUUGUCAUGUUCCCUUAAGCCUAUUCCCUUUUUGGGAGAAAGAUCACCAAUUCUGAAUGUUAGAAGGAACAAACUGAGACAAAUCAUCUGAUUGCAACAUUUACCUUGUUUAGAACUACCUUUUAAUUUUUUUUUCAGUGGAUCAAACUUGCAACACUGUGAGAUUUCUG